Molecule: unclassified non-coding RNA, 292 nt
Filed under: uncultured bacterium
Lineage: Bacteria
Description: partial contains 16S ribosomal RNA and 16S-23S ribosomal RNA intergenic spacer region
Rfam family: Bacterial small subunit ribosomal RNA
Source: RNAcentral
AACAGGAAGAAGCUUGCUUCUUUGCUGACUUGUGCUGGACGGGUGAGAUAAUGUCUGGGAAACUGCCUGAUGGAGGGGGAUAACUACUGGAAACGGUAGCUAAUACCGCAUAACGUCGCAAGACCAAAAAGGGGGACCUUCGGGCCUCUUGCCAUCGGAUGUGCCCAGAUGGGAUUAGCUAGUAGGUGGGGUAACGGCUCACCUAGGCGACGAUCCCUAGCUGGUCUGAGAGGAUGACCAGCCACACUGGAACUGAGACACGGCCCAGACUCCUACGGGAGGCAGCAGUGGG